Molecule: ribosomal RNA, 253 nt
Filed under: uncultured bacterium
Lineage: Bacteria
Description: partial 16S ribosomal RNA
Rfam family: Bacterial small subunit ribosomal RNA
Source: RNAcentral
GACGGCGGGUGCUAGCGUUGUUCGGAAUCACUGGGCGUAAAGGGCGCGUAGGCGGCGCCGGCAGUCGGCCGUGAAAGCCCGGGGCUCAACCCCGGAGGUGCGGCCGAGACGCCGGUGCUGGAGGCCGGAAGAGGAGGGUGGAAUACCCAGUGUAGAGGUGAAAUUCGUAGAUAUUGGGUGGAACACCGGUGGCGAAAGCGGCUCUCUGGUCCGGACCUGACGCUGAGGCGCGAAUGCGUGGGGAGCACACAGG